This 76-nucleotide transfer RNA is filed under the name Bacillota bacterium. Its description in RNAcentral is "Firmicutes bacterium (sediment metagenome) tRNA-Met". It matches the Rfam family "tRNA", at positions 9 to 71 of the family's 71-position model. From Rfam's summary of the family: Transfer RNA (tRNA) molecules are approximately 80 nucleotides in length. Lineage: Bacteria; Bacillati; Bacillota. The record is from RNAcentral.
GGCGCGCGUUUUAGGCGAUCGGCGUCGGGCUCAUAACCCGAAGGUCGCAGGUUCAAAUCCUGCCCCCCCGCUACCA